Molecule: ribosomal RNA, 443 nt
Filed under: uncultured bacterium
Lineage: Bacteria
Description: partial 16S ribosomal RNA
Rfam family: Bacterial small subunit ribosomal RNA
Source: RNAcentral
CCUACGGGAGGCAGCAGUGGGGAAUAUUGGGCAAUGGAGGAAACUCUGACCCAGCAACGCCGCGUGAAUGAUGAAGGUCUUCGGAUUGUAAAGUUCUUUUCUAAGGGAAGAAGAAAGUGACGGUACCUUAGGAAUAAGCCUCGGCUAACUACGUGCCAGCAGCCGCGGUAAUACGUAGGAGGCGAGCGUUAUCCGGAAUGACUGGGCGUAAAGGGUGCGUAGGUGGUUUGGCAAGUUAGUAGCGUAACUCCAAGGCUCAACCUUGGAACUACUACUAAAACUGUUGGACUUGAGUGCAGGAGGGGCAACCGGAAUUCCUAGUGUAGCGGUGGAAUGCGUAGAUAUGACGAAGAACCCCGAUUGCGAAGGCAGCUUGCUGCAGCGGAACUGACGCUGAUGCUCGAAAGCGCGGGUAUCGAACAGGAUUAGAUACCCUUGUAGUC